RNAcentral lists this small nuclear RNA (116 nucleotides) under Myotis brandtii (Brandt's bat). Its description in RNAcentral is "U2 spliceosomal RNA". It matches the Rfam family "U2 spliceosomal RNA". Rfam says of the family: U2 is a small nuclear RNA (snRNA) component of the spliceosome (involved in pre-mRNA splicing). Complementary binding between U2 snRNA (in an area lying towards the 5' end but 3' to hairpin I) and the branchpoint sequence (BPS) of the intron results the bulging out of an unpaired adenosine, on the BPS, which initiates a nucleophilic attack at the intronic 5' splice site, thus starting the first of two transesterification reactions that mediate splicing. The record is from Rfam by way of RNAcentral. Lineage: Eukaryota; Metazoa; Chordata; Mammalia; Chiroptera; Vespertilionidae.
AUCGCUUCUCGGCCUUUUGGCUAAGAUCAAGUGUAGUAUAUGUUCUUAUCAGUUUAAUAAAAAUAUUUUAAUUACAAUUGACAUAUAGUAUUAUAUUAUUUUCAGGUGUACAACAU